RNAcentral lists this ribosomal RNA (292 nucleotides) under Clostridioides difficile. Its description in RNAcentral is "partial 16S ribosomal RNA". It matches the Rfam family "Bacterial small subunit ribosomal RNA", at positions 517 to 809 of the family's 1533-position model. Lineage: Bacteria; Bacillati; Bacillota; Clostridia; Peptostreptococcales; Peptostreptococcaceae. The record is from RNAcentral.
GCGGUAAUACGUAGGGGGCUAGCGUUAUCCGGAUUUACUGGGCGUAAAGGGUGCGUAGGCGGUCUUUCAAGUCAGGAGUGAAAGGCUACGGCUCAACCGUAGUAAGCUCUUGAAACUGGGAGACUUGGGUGCAGGAGAGGAGAGUGGAAUUCCUAGUGUAGCGGUGAAAUGCGUAGAUAUUAGGAGGAACACCAGUUGCGAAGGCGGCUCUCUGGACUGUAACUGACGCUGAGGCACGAAAGCGUGGGGAGCAAACAGGAUUAGAUACCCUGGUAGUCCACGCUGUAAACGA